This 102-nucleotide signal recognition particle RNA is filed under the name pig gut metagenome. RNAcentral's name for it is "Bacteroidales small SRP". It matches the Rfam family "Bacteroidales small SRP". Rfam says of the family: The non-coding component of the signal recognition particle in Bacteroides The record is from RNAcentral.
ACUUGGGUAAGUCAUACACGACCAGCUCCCUCUAAAUUCUCCCAGGGCCGGAAGGCAGCAAGAGCAGGAGGUUGUAGCGGUGCGAUGUAUGUAGCUUACCCU